Molecule: ribosomal RNA, 665 nt
Filed under: uncultured fungus
Lineage: Eukaryota; Fungi
Description: eukaryotic LSU rRNA
Rfam family: Eukaryotic large subunit ribosomal RNA
Source: RNAcentral
CCCGCUGAACUUAAGCAUAUCAAUAAGCGGAGGAAAAGAAACUAACAAGGAUUCCCCUAGUAACUGCGAGUGAAGCGGGAAAAGCUCAAAUUUAAAAUCUGGUGGUCUUUGGCCAUCCGAGUUGUAAUUUAGAGAAGCGUCUUCCGCGCUGGACCGUGCACAAGUCUCCUGGAACGGAGCGUCGUAGAGGGUGAGAAUCCCGUCUUUGGCAUGGACACACCAGGGCUUUUGCGAUGCGCUCUCGAAGAGUCGAGUUGUUUGGGAAUGCAGCUCAAAAUGGGUGGUGAACUCCAUCUAAAGCUAAAUAUUGGCGAGAGACCGAUAGCGAACAAGUACCGUGAGGGAAAGAUGAAAAGCACUUUGGAAAGAGAGUGAAACAGUACGUGAAAUUGUUGAAAGGGAAACGCUUGAAGUCAGUCGCGUCGUCCGAGACUCAGCCUCGCCUCGGCUUGGCGUACUUCUCGGCCCGACGGGUCAGCAUCAAUUUCGCCUCUCGGAUAAUGGCGAGGGAAAAGUGACACCUUUACGGUGUGUUAUAGUCCCUCGUCGCAUGCGAGGGUCGGGAUUGAGGAACUCAGCACGCGCCUUCGGGCGUCGGGGUUCGCCCACGAUACGUGCUUAGGAUGUUGGCGUAAUGGCUUUAAACGACCCGUCUUGAAACACGG